UACGUAGGGGGCAAGCGUUGUCCGGAUUUAUUGGGCGUAAAGAGCUCGUAGGCGGCUUGUCGCGUCGACUGUGAAAUCCCGCGGCUCAACUGCGGGUCUGCAGUCGAUACGGGCAGGCUAGAGUUCGGUAGGGGAGACUGGAAUUCCUGGUGUAGCGGUGAAAUGCGCAGAUAUCAGGAGGAACACCGAUGGCGAAGGCAGGUCUCUGGGCCGAUACUGACGCUGAGACGCGAAAGCGUGGGGAGCGAACAGG
Molecule: ribosomal RNA, 253 nt
Filed under: uncultured bacterium
Lineage: Bacteria
Description: partial 16S ribosomal RNA
Rfam family: Bacterial small subunit ribosomal RNA
Source: RNAcentral